RNAcentral lists this transfer RNA (71 nucleotides) under Candidatus Campbelliibacteriota bacterium. Its description in RNAcentral is "Candidatus Campbellbacteria bacterium tRNA-Met". It matches the Rfam family "tRNA". From Rfam's summary of the family: Transfer RNA (tRNA) molecules are approximately 80 nucleotides in length. Their secondary structure includes four short double-helical elements and three loops (D, anti-codon, and T loops). Further hydrogen bonds mediate the characteristic L-shaped molecular structure. tRNAs have two regions of fundamental functional importance: the anti-codon, which is responsible for specific mRNA codon recognition, and the 3' end, to which the tRNAs corresponding amino acid is attached (by aminoacyl-tRNA synthetases). tRNAs cope with the degeneracy of the genetic code in two manners: having more than one tRNA (with a specific anti-codon) for a particular amino acid; and 'wobble' base-pairing, i.e. permitting non-standard base-pairing at the 3rd anti-codon position. RNAcentral also lists the same sequence under 1 other name. Lineage: Bacteria; Candidatus Campbelliibacteriota. The record is from RNAcentral.
CGCGGGGUGGAGUAAUGGUAUCUCAUCAGGCUCAUAACCUGAAGACGCUCGUUCGAAUCGAGCCCCCGCAA